This 271-nucleotide unclassified non-coding RNA is filed under the name uncultured fungus. Its description in RNAcentral is "sequence contains 5.8S rRNA gene". The record is from RNAcentral. Lineage: Eukaryota; Fungi.
GAACGCAUAUUGCGCCCGCCAGCACUCUGGCGUGCAUGCCUGUUCGAGCGUCAUUUCAACCCUCAGGCCUCGCGUCUGGCGUUGGGGCGCCGCGGCCCUCCCGCAGGCCCCCAAAUCUAGCGGCGAACCCGUCCGGCCCUGAGCGCAGUAGUUAACUUACUUUAACGCUCCGGCGGCCGUGGCGCGGUACUGCCUCUUGCCCAAUAGCGCCAAUAGCGCCACCCCCAAAAAGUUGACCUCGGAUCAGGUAGGACUACCCGCUGAACUUAAG